This 440-nucleotide unclassified non-coding RNA is filed under the name Pogonomyrmex barbatus (red harvester ant). RNAcentral describes it as "uncharacterized LOC105423715, transcript variant X1". Lineage: Eukaryota; Metazoa; Arthropoda; Insecta; Hymenoptera; Formicidae. The record is from RNAcentral.
AUUUGCGAAUCGAGAGAUAACAAAAAAAAAUCAUGAGAAAUUGUGUAGCGAGAGUCAAGUGGUUCUCGAGUAUCGUGAAAAAAUUGGAAAUUAGUAUACGAAUUUCAAGUCUCACGAAGUUUUUAGCGCGUGCCUGCAAAAGGAUUUUGUAUCGCCUUUCUUUUUUUUUUUCAUUUUUUCGGAAAAUUUUUUCCGCUAUUCUCAAAACUGCGAAUUCACUCUGUUUCAGAUACACGCAGUGAAAGGAAGUCCGAUCGGAAAUCAGCGGAUGUUCUUUCCGGCAUGGGCGGCAGAUACUUCGACACACCCAAGGAUUCUCCGUGACAAGAACUUGCAAUGUGCUAUGGACAGGAUGGCCAGGUCGGCACUGUCGUGUGACAGAUGCCUACUCAAUGGUGUGUCUCCCCACCUACGCAGAGCACAUUGCUGACACGGGCGUU